Molecule: small nuclear RNA, 103 nt
Organism: Schistocerca americana (American grasshopper)
Lineage: Eukaryota; Metazoa; Arthropoda; Insecta; Orthoptera; Acrididae
Source: RefSeq, a predicted model, not a curated record
AUACUCGCUUAGGCGGUACAUACACUAAAAUUGGAACGAUACAGAGAAGAUCAACAUGGCCCCCGCGCAAGGAUGACAGAGAAGAGAAGGUGAAAGAGGUGAU